AACGAACGCUGGCGGCAUGCCUAACACAUGCAAGUCGAACGAGACCUUCGGGUCUAGUGGCGCACGGGUGCGUAACGCGUGGGAACCUGCCCUUAGGUUCGGAAUAACUCCCCGAAAGGGGUGCUAAUACCGGAUAAUGUCUUCGGACCAAAGAUUUAUCGCCUUUGGAUGGGCCCGCGUUGGAUUAGCUAGUUGGUAGGGUAAAAGCCUACCAAGGCUACGAUCCAUAGCUGGUCUGAGAGGAUGAGCAGCCACACUGGGACUGAGACACGGCCCAGACUCCUACGGGAGGCAGCAGUGGGGAAUAUUGGACAAUGGGCGAAAGCAUGAUCCAGCAAUGCCGCGUGAGUGAUGAAGGCCUUAGGGUUGUAAAGCUCUUUUACCCGGGAUGAUAAUGACAGUACCGGGAGAAUAAGCUCCGGCUAACUCCGUG
Molecule: ribosomal RNA, 433 nt
Filed under: uncultured bacterium
Lineage: Bacteria
Description: partial 16S ribosomal RNA
Rfam family: Bacterial small subunit ribosomal RNA
Source: RNAcentral